CCUGAGAAACCCAAAAGAUCGAAUGGGGAGAUUCAUCGUCAGCGAUCCUGGCUCGUGUGCGGUUCGUGAUGCAGGAGGCUUCGGUCUCAUUGCACGCGUCCGCAUGGUUUUUUUGCCGGGUGUCGUCGGCGUGCACUUCUCCCCUAGUAGGACGUCGCGACCCGUUGGGUGUCGGUCUACGGCCCGGGCGGGCGCCUGUCAUGUGUUGCGCUUCACGGCGUCAUGUGGCAGACCCCCGGUUGUCUGACCAGCUGCUCGGCGGUACUCGCACGAUAUCGAGUCGCAAAUAUUCGAACUGCGUCCGGCCCGCCGCAAGCGAGGCCAGUGUUUCCCGGAUGUCACGGACCUAGCGCCGUCACCGGGCCUGGCCAGCUGUUGGUUGGUGGUGUCCUGGGACUGGCUCUAAAUUUUAUGAUAUCGGUCGGCGACGCUACUGCUUUGGGUACUUUCAGGA
RNAcentral lists this ribosomal RNA (454 nucleotides) under Rhorus bartelti. RNAcentral's name for it is "partial 28S ribosomal RNA". The record is from RNAcentral. Lineage: Eukaryota; Metazoa; Arthropoda; Insecta; Hymenoptera; Ichneumonidae.